AAAUUGAAGAGUUUGAUCAUGGCUCAGAUUGAACGCUGGCGGCAGGCCUAACACAUGCAAGUCGAACGGUAACAGGAAGCAGCUUGCUGCUUCGCUGACGAGUGGCGGACGGGUGAGUAAUGUCUGGGAAACUGCCUGAUGGAGGGGGAUAACUACUGGAAACGGUAGCUAAUACCGCAUAACGUCGCAAGACCAAAGAGGGGGAUCUUCGG
This 212-nucleotide ribosomal RNA is filed under the name Escherichia coli. RNAcentral describes it as "partial 16S ribosomal RNA". It matches the Rfam family "Bacterial small subunit ribosomal RNA", at positions 1 to 214 of the family's 1533-position model. The record is from RNAcentral. Lineage: Bacteria; Pseudomonadati; Pseudomonadota; Gammaproteobacteria; Enterobacterales; Enterobacteriaceae.